RNAcentral lists this ribosomal RNA (764 nucleotides) under Bizionia sp. RNAcentral's name for it is "bacterial SSU rRNA". It matches the Rfam family "Bacterial small subunit ribosomal RNA", at positions 149 to 916 of the family's 1533-position model. Lineage: Bacteria; Pseudomonadati; Bacteroidota; Flavobacteriia; Flavobacteriales; Flavobacteriaceae. The record is from RNAcentral.
CAGAGAAAUUUGGAUUAAUACCUCAUAGUAUAUAGCCUCCACCUGGAGAUUAUAUUAAAGGUUACGGUACAAGAUGAGUAUGCGUUCUAUUAGCUAGAUGGUAAGGUAACGGCUUACCAUGGCAACGAUAGAUAGGGGCCCUGAGAGGGGGAUCCCCCACACUGGUACUGAGACACGGACCAGACUCCUACGGGAGGCAGCAGUGAGGAAUAUUGGACAAUGGGCGAGAGCCUGAUCCAGCCAUGCCGCGUGCAGGAUGACUGCCCUAUGGGUUGUAAACUGCUUUUAUACAGGAAGAAACACUCCCUCGUGAGGGAGCUUGACGGUACUGUAAGAAUAAGGAUCGGCUAACUCCGUGCCAGCAGCCGCGGUAAUACGGAGGAUCCAAGCGUUAUCCGGAAUCAUUGGGUUUAAAGGGUCCGUAGGUGGAUAAUUAAGUCAGAGGUGAAAUCCUGCAGCUCAACUGUAGAAUUGCCUUUGAUACUGGUUAUCUUGAGUUAUUAUGAAGUAGUUAGAAUAUGUGGUGUAGCGGUGAAAUGCAUAGAUAUCACAUAGAAUACCAAUUGCGAAGGCAGAUUACUAAUAAUUAACUGACACUGAUGGACGAAAGCGUGGGGAGCGAACAGGAUUAGAUACCCUGGUAGUCCACGCCGUAAACGAUGGUUACUAGUUGUUCGAACUUCGGUUUGAGUGACUAAGCGAAAGUGAUAAGUAACCCACCUGGGGAGUACGUUCGCAAGAAUGAAACUCAAAGGAAUUGACGG